UGAAUACGAGACGCUAAGGCGUCGAAGUAGUGUAUGUCAUACUUCCAAGAAAAGCUUGCACUGUCAUAGAUAAAAAACGCCUGUACCAUAACCGACACAGGUGGGUAGGUAGAGUAUACUAAGGGGCGCGAGAUAACUCUCUCUAAGGAACUCGGCAAAAUAACUCCGUAACUUCGGGAGAAGGAGUGCCUUAUUCGUAAGGUUGCAAUAACAAGAUCCAAGCAACUGUUUAUCAAAAACACAGGUCUCCGCUAAGUCGUAAGACGAUGUAUGGGGGCUGACGCCUGCCCAGUGCCAGAAGGUUAAAGAAGUUGGUUAGCAAUUGCGAAGCUGAUAACUGAAGCCCUGGUGAACGGCGGCCGUAACAAUAACGGUCCUAAGGUAGCGAAAUUCCUUGUCGGGUAAGUUCCGACCCGCACGAAAGGCGUAAUGAUUUGGAUACUGUCUCGGAGAGGGGCUCGGUGAAAUAGACUUGUCUGUGAAGAUGCGGACCACCUGCACCAGGACAGAAAGACCCUAUGAAGCUUUACUGUAACUUGAAAUUGAAAUUGGACUUUAUUCGCGCAGUAUAGGUGGGAGGCGUUGAUUAUAAUCUUGUGGGAUUAUUGGAGCCAUCAGUGAGAUACCACUCUUGUAAUGUUAGAUUUCUAACUUUGAAUCAUUAUCUGGUCAAAGAACAGUUUCAGGCGGGCAGUUUGACUGGGGCGGUCGCCUCCUAAACGGUAACGGAGGCGUACAAAGGUUUCCUCUGAACGGUUAGAAAUCGUAUCUAGAGUGUAAAGGCAUAAGGAAGCUUGACUGUGAGACCUACAAGUCGAGCAGGGACGAAAGUCGGUCUUAGUGAUCUGACGGUACUGAGUGGAAAGGCCGUCACUCAACGGAUAAAAGUUACUCUAGGAUAACAGGCUGAUCUCCCCCAAGAGUUCACAUCGACGGGGAGGUUUGGCACCUCGAUGUCGGCUCAUCGCAUCCUGGGGCGGUAGUACGUCCCAAGGGUUGGGCUGUUCGCCCAUGAAAGCGGUACGCGAGCUGGGUUCAGAACGUCGUGAGACAGUUCGGUCCAUAUCCGGUGUAGGCGUUAGAAUAUUGAGAGGAGCCUUCUUUAGUACGAGAGGACCGAGAAGGACAUACCUCUGGUGUACCAGUUAUCGUGCCAACGGUAAACGCUGGGUAGCUAUGUAUGGAGUGGAUAACCGCUGAAAGCAUCUAAGUGGGAAGCCCACCUCAAGAUAAG
This 1234-nucleotide ribosomal RNA is filed under the name metagenome. RNAcentral describes it as "bacterial LSU rRNA". It matches the Rfam family "Bacterial large subunit ribosomal RNA", at positions 1564 to 2808 of the family's 2925-position model. The record is from RNAcentral.